This 212-nucleotide ribosomal RNA is filed under the name uncultured bacterium. RNAcentral describes it as "partial 16S ribosomal RNA". It matches the Rfam family "Bacterial small subunit ribosomal RNA", at positions 684 to 902 of the family's 1533-position model. The record is from RNAcentral.
GAAUGCGUAGAUAUAUGAAGGAACACCAAUGGCGAAGGCAGCUUACUGGACAAGUAUUGACGCUGAGAUGCGAAAGUGUGGGUAGCAAACAGGAUUAGAUACCCUGGUAGUCCACACCGUAAACGAUGAGUGCUAGGUAUUGGGAUAACUCAGUGCCGAAGUUAACGCAUUAAGCACUCCGCCUGGGGAGUACGGUCGCAAGGCUGAAACUC